This 74-nucleotide transfer RNA is filed under the name Ignavibacteriota bacterium. RNAcentral's name for it is "Ignavibacteriae bacterium (activated sludge metagenome) tRNA-Val". It matches the Rfam family "tRNA". Rfam says of the family: Transfer RNA (tRNA) molecules are approximately 80 nucleotides in length. RNAcentral also lists the same sequence under 2 other names. The record is from RNAcentral. Lineage: Bacteria; Pseudomonadati; Ignavibacteriota.
GGGGCUAUGGCACAGCUGGUUAGCGCGCUACCUUGACAUGGUAGAGGUCACAGGUUCGAGUCCUGUUAGCCCCA